GGUGACAAGGCGAAAGGCGCCUGUGCGCCACACUGGGGUCCCCGGGGGGACGGCGGUGAGCUCAGGUGCCCCCUGUCCCCGCAGGGCUGGCCCCGCUCAAGGCCCAGGACGGCAAGUCGUACACGUCCAUCCUGUAUGGCAAUGGCCCCGGCUACGUGCAGAACUCUACGUGCAACCGACCAGACGUCACGGAGGAUGAGAUCCGUGCCCGCACCUACAAGCAGCAGGCAGCUGUGCCUCUGUCAUCGGAGACGCACGGAGGCGAGGACGUGGCGGUGUUCGCUCGUGGCCCGAAGGCGCACCUGGUGCACGGGGUGCAGGAGCAGAACUACAUCGCGCACGUCAUGGCCUUCGCCGCCUGCCUGGAGCCCUAUGAGGCCUGCGACCUGGCCUCCCCGACCCUCCAGAGCACCCCUGGGGGUUCCAGCUCUGCUGCAGCCUCAUUGUCGCUGACGCUGCUGCUUGAGACGCUGCUGCUGCUGCUGUGGGCAUUCGCCCAGCCCUGACCACAGGAUCUCAGGGUGCUCCACUGUGCUCCUGAUUGUCCCUGGUUUCACCUCAGGUCCCCACCACUGGCUCCUGCUUCCAGUGCCUGGUGCUUCCUGUGCCUCUAUGUGGGGACUCCAGCCCAGUGCCACACUCCAAGCUGUCACCUCCAGAACCACCACAGGGCUUUUCCCAUGGUGCCUUCACCUCUGGGAGAAGCAGCCUCAGGAUGCUCAGCACUUCUAAACUAGAUGUCCCUUGCAGAGGGACCAUAGUGCUUCCCAGAGGCUAAUACCAUGACACUCACAUCUCUCCAGGUUGCUCUGGGACUCUGCUUCCUGACUUCAACUGCCUACGCUCCAGAGAAGCAGAGGAUGCAGAAGGGCCACUCCACAGAACCUGCAGCCUUGGGGAAUACCAUGAAGGCACUUUUCCAGAGGCGUCCCCACCAAGCCACUACUGGCCUUGACCCUGUAGUGCUGUUCAGCUUCAGUCUCUACAGCAUCGUAGGUCCCCUAGACCUCCAGCAUGUGGACAGUGCUGAAAGAGGUGGGCAUCCUACCACCCUCCCACUGACCCUGCAACUGACCCUGCCAGCCAAGGAGGGCUUGGGUGUGGAGCUUCCCAGCAGGCUGUGGCAUAUCCUCAGCUACCCUUCACUGCCCCACUUACACACUCUGCACUCUUCAGAGGUGCCAAUAGUAGCAGUGCACACACAGGAAGCCCAAGUCACUGGGCUCCUCAGUGCUGGCCCCCUAACACCAGGCAAGGAUGUCCCAGGCAAACAUUCCCAAGGAGACACCCAGGAAGCUGUGGGGUUUAGAGCAGCAGAUCAGGGCAGCCUUCAGUCCCCUCCCCAGACCAUCUAGGCUCUGGGCAUAGAUUACGGAACAAAGAAGUUCCUUUGCCCCUCUGGGGCCACCAUUUUCCUGGAGAAAAAGCAAUAAACUAUGAUACAAUGUACUCCCAGUAA
Ictidomys tridecemlineatus (thirteen-lined ground squirrel) is the source of this 1459-nucleotide non-coding RNA. The record is from RefSeq and is a predicted model, not a curated record. NCBI's taxonomy places the organism in Eukaryota, Metazoa, Chordata, Mammalia, Rodentia, Sciuridae.